Molecule: transfer RNA, 71 nt
Filed under: Synodus macrops (triplecross lizardfish)
Lineage: Eukaryota; Metazoa; Chordata; Actinopteri; Aulopiformes; Synodontidae
Description: tRNA-Thr
Rfam family: tRNA
About the family: Transfer RNA (tRNA) molecules are approximately 80 nucleotides in length.
Source: RNAcentral
GUAACUGUAGCUCAGUGAAGAGCGCCGGUCUUGUAAUCCGGAUGUCGGAGACUAAAUUCCUCCCUGUUACU